GAAGGAAUAUUUUUUAUACAUCCAUAUUUAUGUCUCAUGAAGAAAAGCUAGCCUCUGAGAUAGAAACGGACAUGAUGACACAGAUGAGGGACCAGCAGCGUGGCUGGAACGGGAGACGGCUGGGUGAGCUGUGCACACUGGGGCCAGGGAGGUGGGCAGAGGAGACCAGCAGGGCCUUGUGGGGUGAUUGCCCUGGGUGGACAGGGAAGAUGGACAGGAGCACAGACCAAUGAGAAUGAGGGCUGAGGGAGGACCUUAGAGAGAGACAGCGGGAUCUAGGUGGAUCUGAUUUACCAAAGAUUUUCCAUCCUGGAGGCGUCAGACUCAGGCUAAUGACUAGAAAAGCCAGAGCUGGGGAAGCCCCUUCCCUGCUAACCGGCAGCUGCAGAGGACAAACAGGCAGCAUCGGUGGAGACGUGGCUACCCGAGGCCCUGGAACCAGUGCAGGCCAGGCAGACACUGCCCUGAAGAUGGACCUUGGCACACACCGAGGUUCACCCUGAUCCGGAAUUUUGGGGUCUGAGUGACACCAGCAUUCACCAAACCUGUGAAGAAGGAGAAGAAGCUGAUCCUGCAGCCACCACGGAAAGGCUUAGUGCUGGGACCUGGACAUUCUCAUAGAAGGGCCCCUGCCCAGGUCUCACCUACCUGCCUGCAGGAGACAAAAGGCCACACAGCACAGGAGGUGGGACACCUGCCCAACGUAGCCAGAGCACCUUUGUAUGCCCCCGGUCACUGGCUUCCCGUGCUUGGAGUAAGACAGCAGCAAGCAGCUUGCCUCACGCCGGUGCCUGACCUUUCUCUGUGGCAAGAGGACUACUGCUCAGCGCUGCAGGAGGCCUGCUGGCACUGAGGAUGACAGAGGGACUUGAGAAGGGGCUGAGUCCAGGGCAACUGCGGGCACAGCCUUGUUCAAGACAAAGCCAGGCCGCAGGCUGUUGGUAUCUGUGCGUGGAAUUCAGCAUUGUUGUACCCAG
This is a long non-coding RNA of Hipposideros armiger (great roundleaf bat), 977 nucleotides long. RefSeq lists it as uncharacterized. The transcript is spliced from 4 exons. The record is from RefSeq and is a predicted model, not a curated record. Lineage: Eukaryota; Metazoa; Chordata; Mammalia; Chiroptera; Hipposideridae.